RNAcentral lists this ribosomal RNA (492 nucleotides) under uncultured bacterium. RNAcentral's name for it is "partial 16S ribosomal RNA". It matches the Rfam family "Bacterial small subunit ribosomal RNA", at positions 29 to 507 of the family's 1533-position model. The record is from RNAcentral.
AGUGAACGCUGGCGGUAGGCCUAACACAUGCAAGUCGAACGGCAGCACAGUAAGAGCUUGCUCUUACGGGUGGCGAGUGGCGGACGGGUGAGGAAUACAUCGGAAUCUACUUUUUCGUGGGGGAUAACGUAGGGAAACUUACGCUAAUACCGCAUACGACCUACGGGUGAAAGCAGGGGAUCUUCGGACCUUGCGCGAUUGAAUGAGCCGAUGUCGAAUUAGCUAGUUGGCGGGGUAAAGGCCCACCAAGGCGACGAUCCGUAGCUGGUCUGAGAGGAUGGUCAGCCACACUGGAACUGGGACACGGUCCAGGCGCCUAAGGGAGGCAGCAGUGGGGAAUAUUGGACAAUGGGCGGAAGCAUGAUACAGCCAUACCGCGUGGGUGAAGAAGGCCUUCGGGUUGUAAAGCCCUUUUGUUGGGAAAGAAAAGCAGCAGGUUAAUACCCCGCUGUUCUGACGGUACCCAAAGAAUAAGCACCGGCUAACUUCGUG